Molecule: ribosomal RNA, 206 nt
Filed under: uncultured bacterium
Lineage: Bacteria
Description: partial 16S ribosomal RNA
Rfam family: Bacterial small subunit ribosomal RNA
Source: RNAcentral
AGCGCAGGCGGACCGGCAAGUUGGAAGUGAAAACUAUGGGCUCAACCCAUAAAUUGCUUUCAAAACUGCUGGCCUUGAGUAGUGCAGAGGUAGGUGGAAUUCCCGGUGUAGCGGUGGAAUGCGUAGAUAUCGGGAGGAACACCAGUGGCGAAGGCGACUUUCUGGACUGUAACUGACACUGAGGCUCGAAAGCCAGGUAGUGAACG